Molecule: ribosomal RNA, 148 nt
Filed under: Vibrio cholerae
Lineage: Bacteria; Pseudomonadati; Pseudomonadota; Gammaproteobacteria; Vibrionales; Vibrionaceae
Description: partial 23S ribosomal RNA
Rfam family: Bacterial large subunit ribosomal RNA (bases 1-126)
Source: RNAcentral
UGAGUCUUCCCUGACAGUUUAACUGUCCUAAAGGGUUGUUCGAGACUAGAACGUUGAUAGGCAGGGUGUGUAAGCGUUGUGAGGCGUUGAGCUAACCUGUACUAAUUGCCCGUGAGGCUUAACCAUACAACACCCAAGGGGUUUUGUA